Molecule: non-coding RNA, 24 nt
Filed under: Drosophila melanogaster (fruit fly)
Lineage: Eukaryota; Metazoa; Arthropoda; Insecta; Diptera; Drosophilidae
Source: RNAcentral
GAGGCAAUCACCGAGAGCAUCAAC